UCCAGAUUCCAAUCUACGCCGCGGAUGCCCACCUCGCGCAUCGCCCAUUCCCCCUCCCUGUGGGGCAGCAGCCCUACCCCGAAGCGCUGGCCUCCGCCGCUAACUCCGUCCACCGUCGAUUCCCUUUCUCGUCCAUUGCAACCUCGGUAGUCCGAGCCCGUCGGCGUCCGUCGUCCUCACCGUCGCAAUGCCGUGCUCCUCCUGAUGUUGUCCUCACCGUCACCUAGCCGCAUCCACUUUGGUCUCAUACGCCACCCGAAGAUCUGCCGCGUGUUCCCUCGCUACAGCACCCCGCAAGCAUCUUCAGCCUCCGGCCCGUCAAGCAGAAAUGCAAACAAGAGACAAUAAGUAAGACUGAAUCUCCCCUAGGAAUGAAUUUUCUCCUUUUUUUGGAGUUCUUUUAUGCCUCUCGGUGGAUUUUUGGGUGAUGACACAUGUAAUUUUGGGAGGAGCAGGGAUAUGAUUCACGUGUUCAUCUUGCGAUUAUGGAGUAUAUAACCCCACCUAUUGGAUGGCCGACCCAUGUCACCCUGUUCGCCUUGGUCGCCGCCACUUAACGGCAUGGUGGUGAACACCAGUGCAAGCACAGUGGCGGCUUCUCUUGCCUAGGUAUUGCGUGUAGGUUUGUGGGUACGGCACAGAUUUGGAGGUUCAGCUCCUGCCUGCAUGUGCAAAAAGUUCAUGAUUUGCAUCUCUAAUAUAACAUGUUGCACUGAACCUCAAAUGUAAAAGCACAUGGUGGUCAAGAAUCGGCAAAUGCUCAUGCUGGAAAUAGCAGUGUGACCAAGUCAAAAAGUGAGCCGGCCACUCCAACACAACCUAAGACAUUGGUGCUCCAAGACACCCUCAAGACAUUUGUAUGGGUAGCUGAGAUUUUAGAAUUGGAAAGCAUUGCAGGAGCAAGGAGAAACUACACAAGAAUCAGUUUUUAAACGAAUGUAUAUUAUGUAUAAUGUAUGGAAAGCUUAGUUCUAGUUUGUAGUAUCUUCUCUUUAAUUAUUUACAUCAUGUCUGAUUUGUUUUAGUUGUGAACUCCAUACACUUUUAGUAUUUGUAUGUGUUCCUAGAUUUGUUACAAAGGAUGCUAAUUGUGAGAAUGGAUUUCUACGAAUGCAAUUGGUGAUGUGGACUGAUGACUUUAUAUAGUGAUA
This is a long non-coding RNA of Triticum dicoccoides, 1151 nucleotides long. RefSeq lists it as uncharacterized. The record is from RefSeq and is a predicted model, not a curated record. The transcript has 7 exons. Lineage: Eukaryota; Viridiplantae; Streptophyta; Magnoliopsida; Poales; Poaceae.